Molecule: ribosomal RNA, 238 nt
Filed under: uncultured bacterium
Lineage: Bacteria
Description: partial 16S ribosomal RNA
Rfam family: Bacterial small subunit ribosomal RNA
Source: RNAcentral
CGGCGGACGGGUGAGUAACGCGUGGGUAACCUGCCUCAUACAGGGGGAUAACAGUUGGAAACGGCUGCUAAUACCGCAUAAGACCACAGCACCGCAUGGUGCAGGGGUAAAAACUCCGGUGGUACAGGAUGGACCCGCGUCUGAUUAGCUGGUUGGUGAGGUAACGGCUCACCAAGGCGACGAUCAGUAGCCGGCUUGAGAGAGUGAACGGCCACAUUGGGACUGAGACACGGCCCAA